GUCCUACGGGAGGCAGCAGUGGGGAAUAUUGGACAAUGGGCGCAAGCCUGAUCCAGCAAUGCCGCGUGGAUGAUGAAGGCCUUAGGGUUGUAAAGUCCUUUCGGCGGGGACGAUGAUGACGGUACCCGCAGAAGAAGCCCCGGCUAACUUCGUGCCAGCAGCCGCGGUAAUACGAAGGGGGCUAGCGUUGUUCGGAAUUACUGGGCGUAAAGGGCGCGUAGGCGGUCCUUCAAGUCAGAUGUGAAAGCCCCGGGCUUAACCUGGGAAGUGCAUUUGAGACUGGGGGGCUUGAGUUCCGGAGAGGUGGGUGGAAUUCCCAGUGUAGAGGUGAAAUUCGUAGAUAUUGGGAAGAACACCGGUGGCGAAGGCGGCCCACUGGACGGACACUGACGCUGAGGCGCGAAAGCGUGGGGAGCAAACAGGAUUAGAUACCCGAGUAGUC
This 442-nucleotide ribosomal RNA is filed under the name uncultured Rhodospirillaceae bacterium. RNAcentral describes it as "bacterial SSU rRNA". It matches the Rfam family "Bacterial small subunit ribosomal RNA", at positions 335 to 795 of the family's 1533-position model. Lineage: Bacteria; Pseudomonadati; Pseudomonadota; Alphaproteobacteria; Rhodospirillales; Rhodospirillaceae. The record is from RNAcentral.